UGAACGCUAGCGGCAGGCUUAAUACAUGCACGUCGCGGGGCAGCAGGACUGUAGCACUCCAGUUGCUGGCGACCGGCAAACGGGUGCGGAACACGUACGCAACCUACCCAAAACUGGGGGAUAGCCCGGGGAAACCCGGAUUAAUACCUCGUAACCUUUUUAAGUGGCAUCACUUGAUAAGUAUAGCUCCGGCGGUUUUGGAUGGGCGUGCGCCUGAUUAGGUAGUUGGUGCGGGUAACGGCCCACCAAGCCUGCGAUCAGUAACUGGUGUGAGAGCACGACCAGUCACACGGGCACUGAGACACGGGCCCGACUCCUACGGGAGGCAGCAGUAAGGAAUAGUGGUCAAGGGACGCAAGUCUGAACCAGCCAUGCCGCGUGAAGGAUGAAGGUCCUCUGGAUUGUAAACUUCUUUUAUGGGGGACGAAACCCGGAUAUUCUUAUCCGAUUGACGGUACCUCAGGAAUAAGCACCGGCUAACUCCGUG
Molecule: ribosomal RNA, 487 nt
Filed under: uncultured bacterium
Lineage: Bacteria
Description: partial 16S ribosomal RNA
Rfam family: Bacterial small subunit ribosomal RNA
Source: RNAcentral